Non-coding RNA from Ixodes scapularis (black-legged tick), 74 nucleotides. Lineage: Eukaryota; Metazoa; Arthropoda; Arachnida; Ixodida; Ixodidae. The record is from Rfam.
GCCGGGAUCGUCUAAUCGGUUAAGGCGUCGCACCGGACAGGCGAAGGCUGCGGGUUCAAUCCCCGCUCCUGGCC